UUAAGAGAACGCUCAAGGGUUGACUGAUAGACGAUGUCGACGAUGGUUUUACCUUAAAUCCAUGUUCUGAAGAUGCCCCAAAUAAUGAUGUGAACUCUGACUCUACGUAGAAAUGAUCGAGACGAAUCGAACGUACUGCAAAUGCAAGAUUUGUGGCCGAAAGCUGUCGAGGAAACAAAGACUCGAAACCCUGACUUGAGUCGUGUUCACGGCAAAGAACAGAUGGAUACCACCUUAGGAAGUAUAAGAGCUACCCAGAUGAUCACAGUGUACCAGUGCCCAAAUCGAUGAAGUUGGAUCGUAACAAGCGUUCAGCGACACGUUCCAACACUGCCAUCUCGAUUCCUCAGUCUUUUGCUUCCACUGAGCUAGCGGCGGUGCCAACAGAGUCAAGUGCGUCUCAUAACGAAGAAACAAUUGUACAAGAGAAGGAAGCGAUUAUAGUACGUUAGAAUUCUUGCGUACAAAUGAAUGCAUGUGCACAUUCCGAAGCGUUGAUCCAUGCUUAUGAUUAUUUUACGAUUUUGGCACAUCUCCGGACACGAGACAUAUUUUGCAUCACAAUAAAAACUUUUAUGACUGUGGAAUCCAAGGGGCCUUUGAGUUUAGAAAGCAAAUCUGUGAUAUGAGUACAUUGCAUUUAAACUGAAAAUUUGCACUUAAUGUAACUGCUUUAUGAAAAAUGCAUAUUCAUGUUAAGAUUUAAUAAAACUUAGUUCAAAUAAUAAAUUUCAUGAUAAACAUGUACAGGUAUAUACAUCUCUUGGUACACUUUGUUUAGCGUAUCUUUUAUUGAACCAAUAUUAAAGUUUUAAGCCUCUAAAAUUA
Molecule: long non-coding RNA, 828 nt
Organism: Stylophora pistillata
Lineage: Eukaryota; Metazoa; Cnidaria; Anthozoa; Scleractinia; Pocilloporidae
Source: RefSeq, a predicted model, not a curated record